RNAcentral lists this ribosomal RNA (497 nucleotides) under uncultured bacterium. Its description in RNAcentral is "partial 16S ribosomal RNA". It matches the Rfam family "Bacterial small subunit ribosomal RNA", at positions 28 to 507 of the family's 1533-position model. The record is from RNAcentral.
GAUGAACGCUGGCGGCGUGCCUAAUACAUGCAAGUCGAGCGAACGGACGAGAAGCUUGCUUCUCUGAUGUUAGCGGCGGACGGGUGAGUAACACGUGGAUAACCUACCUAUAAGACUGGGAUAACUUCGGGAAACCGGAGCCAAUACCGGAUAAUAUUUUCAACCGCAUGGUUCAAAAGUGAAAGACGGUUUUGCUGCCACUUAUAGAUGGAUCCGCGUUGCAUUAGCUAGUUGGUAAGGUAACGGCUUACCAAGGCAACGAUGCAUAGCCGACCUGAGAGGGUGAUCGGCCACACUGGAACUGAGACACGGUCCAGACUCCUACGGGAGGCAGCAGUGGGGAAUCUUGCGCAAUGGGCGAAAGCCUGACGGAGCCACGCCGCGUGAGUGAUGAAGGUCUUCGGAUCGUAAAACUCUGUUAUUAGGGAGGAACAUAUGUGUAAGUAACUGUGCACAUCUUGACGGUACCUAAUCAGAAAGCCACGGCUAACUACGUG